CCUACGGGAGGCAGCAGUGGGGAAUAUUGCACAAUGGGCGCAAGCCUGAUGCAGCCAUGCCGCGUGUAUGAAGAAGGCCUUCGGGUUGUAAAGUACUUUCAGCGAGGAGGAAGGCAUAAAGGUUAAUAACCUUUGUGAUUGACGUUACUCGCAGAAGAAGCACCGGCUAACUCCGUGCCAGCAGCCGCGGUAAU
RNAcentral lists this ribosomal RNA (194 nucleotides) under uncultured Yersinia sp. Its description in RNAcentral is "partial 16S ribosomal RNA". It matches the Rfam family "Bacterial small subunit ribosomal RNA", at positions 338 to 524 of the family's 1533-position model. The record is from RNAcentral. Lineage: Bacteria; Pseudomonadati; Pseudomonadota; Gammaproteobacteria; Enterobacterales; Yersiniaceae.